GGGUAAUCAAGAUGGCGGCGGCCAUGGAAGUAAUUCGAGAUAUGUCAGACCAUCAGCAGAUGGACCGGCUUCAACAUCUUGCUCCGAGACGAAGAAGAGGUCUCCAAGGAUAACGUAGGCUACUUACCGACAAUAGAUGCACCGGCAACAAAUAUGUCAACGGUGCAUGAGGUCCUUUGCCAGUCGCUUAAGAUAAACGCCCUCCAUCUUAACACUAUCGUAGCUGUCUUUGAUCAAGCCCUUUAUGCGAAGGCAAUUGAAAGUACAAAGUGAAGUUCGAGCACAUAGUUCUAAGAAUGGGAGCAUUCCAUACGAUCUGUACAUUACUAGGGAUUUUUGGCAAACGAUUCCAAGACGCUGGACUGACUGAGCUGUGCGUUGAAUCGCAAAUUCUCGCAAAAGGAUCAGUAACUGGGGUCAUGGAAGGACGGAGGUACAAUCAGGCUGUGCGUAUGCUUAAGCUUGUGUAUGAUGCUCUAAUGAGACGGGCAUGGGGGGCUUCAUAGAGUGGA
Molecule: long non-coding RNA, 512 nt
Organism: Nematostella vectensis (starlet sea anemone)
Lineage: Eukaryota; Metazoa; Cnidaria; Anthozoa; Actiniaria; Edwardsiidae
Exons: 2
Source: RefSeq, a predicted model, not a curated record